Molecule: ribosomal RNA, 1372 nt
Filed under: uncultured bacterium
Lineage: Bacteria
Description: bacterial SSU rRNA
Rfam family: Bacterial small subunit ribosomal RNA
Source: RNAcentral
GAUGAACGCUGGCGGCGUGCCUAAUACAUGCAAGUCGAGCGAACGGACGAGAAGCUUGCUUCUCUGAUGUUAGCGGCGGACGGGUGAGUAACACGUGGAUAACCUACCUAUAAGACUGGGAUAACUUCGGGAAACCGGAGCUAAUACCGGAUGAUAUUUUGAACCGCAUGGUUCAAAAGUGAAAGACGGUCUUGCUGUCACUUAUAGAUGGAUCCGCGCUGCAUUAGCUAGUUGGUAAGGUAACGGCUUACCAAGGCAACGAUGCAUAGCCGACCUGAGAGGGUGAUCGGCCACACUGGAACUGAGACACGGUCCAGACUCCUACGGGAGGCAGCAGUAGGGAAUCUUCCGCAAUGGGCGAAAGCCUGACGGAGCAACGCCGCGUGAGUGAUGAAGGUCUUCGGAUCGUAAAACUCUGUUAUUAGGGAAGAACAUAUGUGUAAGUAACUGUGCACAUCUUGACGGUACCUAAUCAGAAAGCCACGGCUAACUACGUGCCAGCAGCCGCGGUAAUACGUAGGUGGCAAGCGUUAUCCGGAAUUAUUGGGCGUAAAGCGCGCGUAGGCGGUUUUUUAAGUCUGAUGUGAAAGCCCACGGCUCAACCGUGGAGGGUCAUUGGAAACUGGAAAACUUGAGUGCAGAAGAGGAAAGUGGCAUUCCAUGUGUAGCGGUGAAAUGCGCAGAGAUAUGGAGGAACACCAGUGGCGAAGGCGACUUUCUGGUCUGUAACUGACGCUGAUGUGCGAAAGCGUGGGGAUCAAACAGGAUUAGAUACCCUGGUAGUCCACGCCGUAAACGAUGAGUGCUAAGUGUUAGGGGGUUUCCGCCCCUUAGUGCUGCAGCUAACGCAUUAAGCACUCCGCCUGGGGAGUACGACCGCAAGGUUGAAACUCAAAGGAAUUGACGGGGACCCGCACAAGCGGUGGAGCAUGUGGUUUAAUUCGAAGCAACGCGAAGAACCUUACCAAAUCUUGACAUCCUUUGACAACUCUAGAGAUAGAGCCUUCCCCUUCGGGGGACAAAGUGACAGGUGGUGCAUGGUUGUCGUCAGCUCGUGUCGUGAGAUGUUGGGUUAAGUCCCGCAACGAGCGCAACCCUUAAGCUUAGUUGCCAUCAUUAAGUUGGGCACUCUAAGUUGACUGCCGGUGACAAACCGGAGGAAGGUGGGGAUGACGUCAAAUCAUCAUGCCCCUUAUGAUUUGGGCUACACACGUGCUACAAUGGACAAUACAAAGGGCAGCGAAACCGCGAGGUCAAGCAAAUCCCAUAAAGUUGUUCUCAGUUCGGAUUGUAGUCUGCAACUCGACUACAUGAAGCUGGAAUCGCUAGUAAUCGUAGAUCAGCAUGCUACGGUGAAUACGUUCCCGGGUCU